GGUUAAGCGACUAAGCGUACACGGUGGAUGCCCUGGCAGUCAGAGGCGAUGAAGGACGUGCUAAUCUGCGAAAAGCGUCGGUAAGGUGAUAUGAACCGUUAUAACCGGCGAUGUCCGAAUGGGGAAACCCAGUGCAAUUCGUUGCACUAUCGUUAACUGAAUACAUAGGUUAACGAGGCGAACCGGGGGAACUGAAACAUCUAAGUACCCCGAGGAAAAGAAAUCAACCGAGAUUCCCCCAGUAGCGGCGAGCGAACGGGGAGCAGCCCAGAGUCUGAAUCAGCUUGUGUGUUAGUGGAACGGUCUGGAAAGUCCGACGGUACAGGGUGAUAGUCCCGUACACCAAAAUGCACAGGUUGUGAACUCGAAGAGUAGGGCGGGACACGUGGUAUCCUGUCUGAAUAUGGGGGGACCAUCCUCCAAGGCUAAAUACUCCUGACUGACCGAUAGUGAACCAGUACCGUGAGGGAAAGGCGAAAAGAACCCCGGCGAGGGGAGUGAAAAAGAACCUGAAACCGUGUACGUACAAGCAGUGGGAGCACCUUCGGGUGUGACUGCGUACCUUUUGUAUAAUGGGUCAGCGACUUAUAUUCUGUAGCAAGGUUAACCGUAUAGGGGAGCCGCAGGGAAACCGAGUCUUAACUGGGCGUUAAGUUGCAGGGUAUAGACCCGAAACCCGGUGAUCUAGCCAUGGGCAGGUUGAAGGUUGGGUAACACUAACUGGAGGACCGAACCGACUAAUGUUGAAAAAUUAGCGGAUGACUUGUGGCUGGGGGUGAAAGGCCAAUCAAACCGGGAGAUAGCUGGUUCUCCCCGAAAGCUAUUUAGGUAGCGCCUCGUGAACUCAUCUUCGGGGGUAGAGCACUGUUUCGGCUAGGGGGUCAUCCCGACUUACCAACCCGAUGCAAACUACGAAUACCGAAGAAUGUUAUCACGGGAGACACACGGCGGGUGCUAACGUCCGUCGUGAAGAGGGAAACAACCCAGACCGCCAGCUAAGGUCCCAAAGUCAUGGUUAAGUGGGAAACGAUGUGGGAAGGCACAGACAGCCAGGAUGUUGGCUUAGAAGCAGCCAUCAUUUAAAGAAAGCGUAAUAGCUCACUGGUCGAGUCGGCCUGCGCGGAAGAUGUAACGGGGCUAAACCAUGCACCGAAGCUGCGGCAGCGACACUAUGUGUUGUUGGGUAGGGGAGCGUUCUGUAAGCCUGCGAAGGUGUGCUGUGAGGCAUGCUGGAGGUAUCAGAAGUGCGAAUGCUGACAUAAGUAACGAUAAAGCGGGUGAAAAGCCCGCUCGCCGGAAGACCAAGGGUUCCUGUCCAACGUUAAUCGGGGCAGGGUGAGUCGACCCCUAAGGCGAGGCCGAAAGGCGUAGUCGAUGGGAAACAGGUUAAUAUUCCUGUACUUGGUGUUACUGCGAAGGGGGGACGGAGAAGGCUAUGUUAGCCGGGCGACGGUUGUCCCGGUUUAAGCAUGUAGGCUGGUUGUCCAGGCAAAUCCGGAUAAUCAAGGCUGAGGUGUGAUGACGAGGCACUACGGUGCUGAAGUAACAAAUGCCCUGCUUCCAGGAAAAGCCUCUAAGCAUCAGGUAACAUCAAAUCGUACCCCAAACCGACACAGGUGGUCAGGUAGAGAAUACCAAGGCGCUUGAGAGAACUCGGGUGAAGGAACUAGGCAAAAUGGUGCCGUAACUUCGGGAGAAGGCACGCUGGUGUGUAGGUGAAGUCCCUGCGGAUGGAGCUGAGACCAGUCGAAGAUACCAGCUGGCUGCAACUGUUUAUUAAAAACACAGCACUGUGCAAACACGAAAGUGGACGUAUACGGUGUGACGCCUGCCCGGUGCCGGAAGGUUAAUUGAUGGGGUUAUCCGUAAGGAGAAGCUCUUGAUCGAAGCCCCGGUAAACGGCGGCCGUAACUAUAACGGUCCUAAGGUAGCGAAAUUCCUUGUCGGGUAAGUUCCGACCUGCACGAAUGGCGUAAUGAUGGCCAGGCUGUCUCCACCCGAGACUCAGUGAAAUUGAACUCGCUGUGAAGAUGCAGUGUACCCGCGGCAAGACGGAAAGACCCCGUGAACCUUUACUAUAGCUUGACACUGAACAUUGAGCCUUGAUGUGUAGGAUAGGUGGGAGGCUUUGAAGCGUGGACGCCAGUCUGCGUGGAGCCAACCUUGAAAUACCACCCUUUAAUGUUUGAUGUUCUAACGUUGGCCCCUUACCGGGGUUGCGGACAGUGUCUGGUGGGUAGUUUGACUGGGGCGGUCUCCUCCCAAAGCGUAACGGAGGAGCACGAAGGUUAGCUAAUCCUGGUCGGACAUCAGGAGGUUAGUGCAAUGGCAUAAGCUAGCUUGACUGCGAGCGUGACGGCGCGAGCAGGUGCGAAAGCAGGUCAUAGUGAUCCGGUGGUUCUGAAUGGAAGGGCCAUCGCUCAACGGAUAAAAGGUACUCCGGGGAUAACAGGCUGAUACCGCCCAAGAGUUCAUAUCGACGGCGGUGUUUGGCACCUCGAUGUCGGCUCAUCACAUCCUGGGGCUGAAGUAGGUCCCAAGGGUAUGGCUGUUCGCCAUUUAAAGUGGUACGCGAGCUGGGUUUAGAACGUCGUGAGACAGUUCGGUCCCUAUCUGCCGUGGGCGCUGGAGAAUUGAGGGGGGCUGCUCCUAGUACGAGAGGACCGGAGUGGACGCAUCACUGGUGUUCGGGUUGUCAUGCCAAUGGCACUGCCCGGUAGCUAAAUGCGGAAGAGAUAAGUGCUGAAAGCAUCUAAGCACGAAACUUGCCCCGAGAUGAGUUCUCCCUGAGACUUUAAGUCUCCUGAAGGAACGUUGAAGACGACGACGUUGAUAGGCCGGGUGUGUAAGCGCAGCGAUGCGUUGAGCUAACCGGUACUAAUGAACCGUGAGGCUUAACCUU
Molecule: ribosomal RNA, 2902 nt
Filed under: Klebsiella pneumoniae
Lineage: Bacteria; Pseudomonadati; Pseudomonadota; Gammaproteobacteria; Enterobacterales; Enterobacteriaceae
Also listed under: 2 other names
Description: 23S ribosomal RNA
Rfam family: Bacterial large subunit ribosomal RNA
Source: RNAcentral